This 537-nucleotide ribosomal RNA is filed under the name Triticum aestivum (bread wheat). RNAcentral describes it as "partial small subunit ribosomal RNA". The record is from RNAcentral. Lineage: Eukaryota; Viridiplantae; Streptophyta; Magnoliopsida; Poales; Poaceae.
AUGGUUUUCAAAGACGAAAGCAGUGAGGACACGUCCAGCCUGCUGUACAUGCACUCGACCUCAUCCACGGACGGGCUUAACCAGGUCCCUUUCAGCGUUGAAGAUCCAGAUUACCAGGGGCUUGAGCUGGAAACGAUGUCGCCAUGUGAGAAGCACGGCAAGGCAUCUGAGAGGCUUGUCGCAUUUGAAGGAACAGACACAGGGAGAAGGUUCCUAGAACGGCAGAAUUGUGGGUUUGUUGAAUGGGUUGAUCACCAGUGGCCCACAACAAUGCAAAAUGCAUUGUUGAAGCUGUGGGCCAUGGUUGAAGAUAGCAAGAGUGCUAGGGUGAAUGAUAAUCUUGAAAGUUCUUUCACUAUCCACCAUCUGACAGAAGAGAAGAACAAGCUGAAGGCCAACUAUGACAAGUUAGUCCAAGAUGUGCAUCAACUUAUGAGCUUCCAGGAGGACAGGGUGGUGGAUUUCAGAUAUCUGCAGGAUAACCUUACAUAUCAGCAGCAAUGCAGAAGUGAACCGGUGGCUGAUAUGAAGGCAUAG